Malurus melanocephalus (red-backed fairy wren) is the source of this 1873-nucleotide long non-coding RNA. RefSeq lists it as uncharacterized. Lineage: Eukaryota; Metazoa; Chordata; Aves; Passeriformes; Maluridae. The record is from RefSeq and is a predicted model, not a curated record. The transcript is spliced from 3 exons.
UAUUCCAUGAUUCUGUGUUUCUCAGUGCUCUGUUUAGCUCAUGUUCAACUCACUCUUCAACAUUCCCAUCGUUCCUCAGUGAGGGCGCUGGGGAUGGUCCCAGUGUAACCCACAGCUCCUCCAGUCCCAGCCUGCCCACCACAGCUCCCUGUCCUGAGCUCCCCCUCAUUCACAACGAGGAGUGGAACWGCUCUGCUUCUAGCUGUUGACAUCCAUGGAAGAAAUUGUUUUGAGACCAAAUUAUUUCCUUGCAAAUAUACAAAUGAUCUGGGAAUAUGCAUUGCAUUGAGCGGCGUGGUGCAUCGACCGUAGCGAACGAGUUACACGGRUGAAGGGAAACACACAAUGUGCUUGACAAACCUGGAGCAAGCAGUGAUGGACGAGGAGGGAAAAGGUGGAUAACUGCAUCCUUAUGGGUUUAAAAGGUGCAUGAAAACCCAUCUCAGAGCAGCGUGGGCUUCUACACAGAGCAGAAAUGAAAUGAGCACCAGUCAAGGGUGGAAGAUCCAAUUGGUUCCACUCACYCACACUGGGAAGGCUCAGAAGGAGCUGCUUUGUAGAACCAGAGGAGGAAAUUGUGCCCACCAUYCCUGCUGGAGCCUUCAGGCUACCAGACAGCUCAUCCAGCACAGGAUUUGCUYUUUCACCACAGGAGCAGUUACAUUUCAUUUAAGAUGAUUUCUUUGAUCCCUGCUCUCGGCUGAAGCCCAGCAUUGGUGCAUUCCCUGUUCCCUGCUGGACUUGGACUGCUGCAGCUGAAGAUGUCUCAGGAACAGAUGGAUCCACUCAGUUUUGUACUUGCAUGGAGGGGACUGUGCCAUGCAGAGAUUUUAUUCCUUUGAAUUUUUAAUUGGGCAGCAGAGAGGGCUGCACAGCUGCACAUUGUAGCCCCUCUGCAGAUCCAUUAAUGGAUUUUUAUUCCUGUGCCCAGACUGUGGCAUUGUUAGUCUGCCAGUCAGAACAGCAACCAGGCAACUUGAAAACAAAAACCCGUAAUCCCACUGGAUCCCAAGAUUAAAUGAGUAAGAAUUCAUUGUUUUCCAUCUUUCUCCUCAGCCCUUUCUAUCAGAUGUAACCAGAUUGAAGCCAGCCCUUCCAUCAAAGCACUCAAGAGGGGAUUGAAUUAAUGAGCUUUAAAUAGACAUAUUGCUUUGUUUUCUAGAGGAAAACCAGAACAUUCAGGCAACUUUGAUUUUCCUAAUAAUUAGUUACAUUUGUUUUUACUGAGUCUCUGUUCAAGGGAUUCAGAGUUCCAACCUGUAACUGGGAAGUGGCUGGGAAUCAGCAGGUCYUGCCUGUUCCCAUCACUGCAAUUCCACACCAAGGUCACUUCACCCUCUCCCUCUUCCUGUUUGUAGUGAAGCUGAUUCCUUUGGGAAAAGCCUUUGGCAAUCUAAGGGCAACAGAUUAAAUAUGUAAGAGUAUUAUUAUUAAAGACUAGUGCCAAAAGUCACACAUUCAGAGAGGAAUGCAGCGUGGUGCAAAACAGUGAUUAAGAAACUACAACCAUGCAAACAGUGGGACACUAAAUAGUUUUAAACUGAGCAACUAUGAAAUGAGAAUCAAAUGCAGUUGAAAAUGAAGAGUGGUAAAUCUGGCCAUGUUUUCAUUUCCUUUCAAAUGUGCAAACUGGGAAACUAUAAAUUGUGAUGGAGGGAAAGGACAGAAGAGAAAAAAUUGGUGCAAGACAAGGUGGAGCUUAGGGAGAUCCAUCCAAGGUGGGUUUAGAGAGCUGAGCACAAAUGGACAGCGUGAUCAGUGGGUGCCUGGUAGUGCAGGACAUUGAAAAGAUCAGCACUUGGCARAGGGGCAGAUGUGGCACUGAGGGACACGGKCCAGGGCUGGCCUUGGCAGKGUCAGGUUUAUAUUUGGA